RNAcentral lists this ribosomal RNA (309 nucleotides) under uncultured eukaryote. Its description in RNAcentral is "partial 18S ribosomal RNA". It matches the Rfam family "Eukaryotic small subunit ribosomal RNA", at positions 1470 to 1796 of the family's 1831-position model. The record is from RNAcentral.
CCCUUAGAUGUUCUGGGCGGCCCGCGCACUACAUUGGCACUCUCAAUAAGUUCCUAGAUCUAACACUUUGGGGUAUUCUAUUAAGUGGUGUCGUGACUGGGAUUAACCCUUGCAAUUAUUGGUUACGAACGAGGAAUUCCUUGUAAUCGCGGUUUAUCAGCCCGCGUUGAAUGCGUCCCUGCCCUUUGUACACACCGCCCGUCGCUCCUACCGAUGAAUCGUCCGGUGAAGUUCAUGGAGUGGUGGUUGUUCCAGCUGCUGUCGAAGUGAAAUGGACCUCACGAUUUAGAGGAAGGAGAAGUCGUAACA